Molecule: ribosomal RNA, 492 nt
Filed under: uncultured bacterium
Lineage: Bacteria
Description: partial 16S ribosomal RNA
Rfam family: Bacterial small subunit ribosomal RNA
Source: RNAcentral
AGUGAACGCUGGCGGUAGGCCUAACACAUGCAAGUCGAACGGCAGCACAGUAAGAGCUUGCUCUUACGGGUGGCGAGUGGCGGACGGGUGAGGAAUACAUCGGAAUCUACUUUUUCGUGGGGGAUAACGUAGGGAAACUUACGCUAAUACCGCAUACGACCUACGGGUGAAAGCAGGGGAUCUUCGGACCUUGCGCGAUUGAAUGAGCCGAUGUCGGAUUAGCUAGUUGGCGGGGUAAAGGCCCACCAAGGCGACGAUCCGUAGCUGGUCUGAGAGGAUGAUCAGCCACACUGAAAUUGAGACACGGUCAAGAUUCCUACGGGAGGCAGCAGUGGGGAAUAUUGGACAAUGGGCGCAAGCCUGAUCCAGCCAUACCGCGUGGGUGAAGAAGGCCUUCGGGUUUUAAAGCCCUUUUGUUGGGAAAGAAAAGCAGCAGGUUAAUACCCCGCUGUUCUGACGGUACCCAAAGAAUAAGCACCGGCUAACUUCGUG